RNAcentral lists this ribosomal RNA (981 nucleotides) under Ramphocoris clotbey. Its description in RNAcentral is "partial 16S ribosomal RNA". It matches the Rfam family "Bacterial large subunit ribosomal RNA", at positions 1238 to 2839 of the family's 2925-position model. The record is from RNAcentral. Lineage: Eukaryota; Metazoa; Chordata; Aves; Passeriformes; Alaudidae.
AUCCCUCUCCACUAACAGGCCAACCUAUCACAAUAGGAGAAUUAAUGCUAGAAUGAGUAACCAGGGUCCUCCCUCUACGACGCAAGCUUACAUCUGUACAUUAUUAACAAAUCACCAAUAUACGACAAAUCCAACAAGCAGAGUAUUAAGUAAAUUGUUAACCCGACAGAGGAGCGUCCGUUAAGAAAGAUUAAAACCUGUGAAAGGAACUCGGCAAACACAAGGCCCGACUGUUUACCAAAAACAUAGCCUUCAGCAAAUCCAAGAGACAAGUAUUGAAGGUGAUGCCUGCCCGGUGACCUGAGGUUAAACGGCCGCGGUAUCCUGACCGUGCGAAGGUAGCGCAAUCAAUUGUCCCGUAAAUCGGGACACGUAUGAAUGGCUAAACGAGGUCUUAACUGUCUCUCACAGGCAAUCGGUGAAAUUGAUCUCCCUGUACGAAAGCAGGGAUAACCACAUAAGACGAGAAGACCCUGUGGAACUUCAAAAACAGCAGCCACCCCAAAUAACAUUCACACCCAAAGCACUGGCUUGCAUUUUUUCGGUUGGGGCAACCUUGGAGCAAAACAGAACCUCCAAAAAUUGGACCAUACAUCCAAACUAAGAGCGACAUCUCAACGUGCGCACAGCACCCAGACCCAAUAUAAUUGAUCAAUGGACCAAGCUACCCCAGGGAUAACAGCGCAAUCUCCCCCAAGAGUCCAUAUCGACGGGGAGGUUUACGACCUCGAUGUUGGAUCAGGACAUCCUAGUGGUGCAGCAGCUACUAAGGGCUCGUUUGUUCAACGAUUAACAGUCCUACGUGAUCUGAGUUCAGACCGGAGCAAUCCAGGUCGGUUUCCAUCUAUGAUGAACUCUUCCUCGUACGAAAGGAUCGGAAAAGUGAGGCCAAUACCACAAGCAAGCCUUCGCCUUAAGUAAUGAAGCCAACUCAAUUACAAAAGGCUAUCAAACUCCACCACGUCCUAGAAAAGGACACCA